GAUGAACGCUGGCGGCGUGCCUAAUACAUUCAAGUCGAGCGAACAGAUGAGGAGCUUGCUCCUCUUACGUUAGCGGCGGACGGGUGAGUAACACGUGGAUAACCUACCUAUAAGACUGGGAUAACUUCGGGAAACCGGAGCUAAUACCGGAUAAUAUAUUGAACCGCAUGGUUCAAUAGUGAAAGACGGUUUUGCUGUCACUUAUAGAUGGAUCCGCGCCGCAUUAGCUAGUUGGUAAGGUAACGGCUUACCAAGGCAACGAUGCGUAGCCGACCUGAGAGGGUGAUCGGCCACACUGGAACUGAGACACGGUCCAGACUCCUACGGGAGGCAGCAGUAGGGAAUCUUCCGCAAUGGGCGAAAGCCUGACGGAGCAACGCCGCGUGAGUGAUGAAGGUCUUCGGAUCGUAAAACUCUGUUAUUAGGGAAGAACAAAUGUGUAAGUAACUAUGCACGUCUUGACGGUACCUAAUCAGAAAGCCACGGCUAACUACGUG
Molecule: ribosomal RNA, 497 nt
Filed under: uncultured bacterium
Lineage: Bacteria
Description: partial 16S ribosomal RNA
Rfam family: Bacterial small subunit ribosomal RNA
Source: RNAcentral